UGUCUCUUUUAUUUAGUGUCUCAUGGUUUUUCUUGUCUUCUGGGGCUUCAGAGGGGAAUGGGCCUCUGCUUGGGCUGUUUGUCUUUGCCCUGGACAUGGUAGCUUCUCAUUUCAUGUCUUCUUUUUUUAUAUUUUUUACAGUUAAUUUUUUUUUCUUAGGGUCUUGCUCUGCCUCCCAGGCUGGAGUGUCAUCGUGUGAUCAUGGCUCCACUGCAGCCCUUUUGGCCUCCACUGGUUUUCCCAAGUCAGCAUCUUGAGUAGUGUAGACUAUAGGCUUAUGCCACAAUCCCUGACUAAUUUCUGAUUUGGUUUGAGAGGUUGGUUCUCACUCUGUUGCUUAGGGUGGUCUUAAACUUUGGACACAAGCAAUCCCCUUGCCUGGGCCUCUCCAUGUGCUGAGAUUACAGGCAUGAGCCACUGCACCCAGCCAGAAUAAAGUAUCUUUAAAUGGAAUCAUUUAGGUAUAUUGAAAAGUUUACUUUCAGGCCAGCCUGGCCAACAUGGUGAUACCCUGUCUCUACUAAAAAUAUAAAAUUAGCUGGGCAUGGUGAUGUGCACCUGUAAUCC
Molecule: long non-coding RNA, 567 nt
Organism: Sapajus apella (tufted capuchin)
Lineage: Eukaryota; Metazoa; Chordata; Mammalia; Primates; Cebidae
Exons: 3
Source: RefSeq, a predicted model, not a curated record